AGCGAACGCUGGCGGCAGGCCUAACACAUGCAAGUCGAACGAACCUUUCGGGGUUAGUGGCGGACGGGUGAGUAACACGUUGGAACGUGCCUUUAGGUUCGGAAUAACGCAGGGGAACUUGUGCUAAUACCGAAUGUGCCCUUCGGGGGAAAGAUUUAUCGCCUUUAGAGCGGCCCGCGUCUGAUUAGCUAGUUGGUUGAGGUAAUGGCUCACCAAGGCGACGAUCAGUAGAUGGUCUGAGAGGAUGAUCAGCCACAUUGGGACUGAGACACGGCCCAAACUACUACGGGAGGCAGCAGUGGGGAAUCUUGCGCAAUGGGCGAAAGGCUGACGGAGCCAUGCCGCGUGAAUGCUGAAGGUCUUGGGAUUGUAAAAUUCUUUAACCGGGGACGAUAAUGACGGUACCAGGAGAAGAAGCCCCGGCUAACUUCGUG
RNAcentral lists this ribosomal RNA (434 nucleotides) under uncultured bacterium. RNAcentral's name for it is "partial 16S ribosomal RNA". It matches the Rfam family "Bacterial small subunit ribosomal RNA", at positions 29 to 507 of the family's 1533-position model. The record is from RNAcentral.